RNAcentral lists this ribosomal RNA (701 nucleotides) under Streptomyces sp. Its description in RNAcentral is "bacterial SSU rRNA". It matches the Rfam family "Bacterial small subunit ribosomal RNA", at positions 39 to 755 of the family's 1533-position model. The record is from RNAcentral. Lineage: Bacteria; Bacillati; Actinomycetota; Actinomycetes; Kitasatosporales; Streptomycetaceae.
GGGGCGGCGUCUUACACAUGCAGUCGAACGAUGAACCGCUUUCGGGCGGGGAUUAGUGGCGAACGGGUGAGUAACACGUGGGCAAUCUGCCCUGCACUCUGGGACAAGCCCUGGAAACGGGGUCUAAUACCGGAUAUGACUGUCCAUCGCAUGGUGGAUGGUGUAAAGCUCCGGCGGUGCAGGAUGAGCCCGCGGCCUAUCAGCUUGUUGGUGAGGUAGUGGCUCACCAAGGCGACGACGGGUAGCCGGCCUGAGAGGGCGACCGGCCACACUGGGACUGAGACACGGCCCAGACUCCUACGGGAGGCAGCAGUGGGGAAUAUUGCACAAUGGGCGAAAGCCUGAUGCAGCGACGCCGCGUGAGGGAUGACGGCCUUCGGGUUGUAAACCUCUUUCAGCAGGGAAGAAGCGAAAGUGACGGUACCUGCAGAAGAAGCGCCGGCUAACUACGUGCCAGCAGCCGCGGUAAUACGUAGGGCGCAAGCGUUGUCCGGAAUUAUUGGGCGUAAAGAGCUCGUAGGCGGCUUGUCACGUCGGUUGUGAAAGCCCGGGGCUUAACCCCGGGUCUGCAGUCGAUACGGGCAGGCUAGAGUUCGGUAGGGGAGAUCGGAAUUCCUGGUGUAGCGGUGAAAUGCGCAGAUAUCAGGAGGAACACCGGUGGCGAAGGCGGAUCUCUGGGCCGAUACUGACGCUGAGGAGCG